AUACGUAUGGGGCGAGCGUUAUCCGGAAUUAUUGGGCGUAAAGAGUACGUAGGUGGUUUUUUAAGCGGGAGGUUUGAGGCUACGGCUUAACCGUAGUUCGCCUCUCGAACUGGAAGACUUGAGUGCAGGAGAGGAAAGCGGAAUUCCUAGUGUAGCGGUGAAAUGCGUAGAUAUUAGGAGGAACACCGGUGGCGAAGGCGGCUUUCUGGACUGUAACUGACACUGAGGUACGAAAGCGUGGGGAGCAAACAGGAUUAGAUACCCUGGUAGUCCACGCUGUAAACGAUGAAUACUAGGUGUAGGGAGUGUCAAAACUCUCUGUGCCGCAGCAAACGCAAUAAGUAUUCCACCUGGGGAGUACGACCGCAAGGUUGAAACUCAAAUGAAUUGACGGGG
Molecule: ribosomal RNA, 396 nt
Filed under: uncultured bacterium
Lineage: Bacteria
Description: partial 16S ribosomal RNA
Rfam family: Bacterial small subunit ribosomal RNA
Source: RNAcentral